AGGACCGCGUCGAGCCCGACCAGAUGAUGGCCCGGGAUGAGCCAGGCAAGAACCAGGAGGACGCGAGGUUAGGUGCCCUGGUGUUGGCGGGAGUUGUUGAAUGGACUUCGGUGCGUCCCGCAACCCCCUGGCGGAGAGGAUACAAAGGACCUGACUAACAAACUGCUGACCUUAACAAGCCUGUGGACACAAAGUAGAUGGACCUUUUUGGAGAAAUGAAAGCGAAUGCCUACAAAUUUAAAAACCUGCUGUUGCUAUUCCACCCAUACACCACUUAGGAAAGCCUGUGUUACUAUACAUUGGGAGUUCUGCAAAUCCAAAGGGGCCUGAGGAUGGAAAUCAGGAGAUCUGAGAACAUGGAUGGAGAAAAGAAAUUUCUAUCCUCACUAACCUCUAAAGUCUAGCAUUUGUUUCAUAGGCCACAAACCACCAUAGUAUCAGUACCUGUGACUCUGUCAUCACGAGCAGAUAUUUGCAUGUUCCAGAUACCCGAAAAUAUUGUUUAGGUGCAGCACCGCUUGGGAAUUACGGUAUUAUUAUCCCCAUUCUGAGAUCCUGUAAUAUGAUAAAGAAGCACAUUUA
Long non-coding RNA from Lontra canadensis (Northern American river otter), 582 nucleotides. RefSeq lists it as uncharacterized. The transcript is spliced from 3 exons. The record is from RefSeq and is a predicted model, not a curated record. Lineage: Eukaryota; Metazoa; Chordata; Mammalia; Carnivora; Mustelidae.